AUGGGGAUGUGGGAGAGAACCUGGGGUGUCAUCUUGUCUCAGGGGAAAUAGGAACAUCCCCAUGGCGCUGAAGAUGCCAGAGGUAGAUGCCACAAGCUCAGUGGGGAAAACUCCCCUGACAUCUGCCGUUGCCAAACAGGGCGUGUGCAGAAGAGAAGGCAGUUGUAGCUGGGGAGGUGAGGACCCCAUUAGGAAAGGAGAUGAGCGCAGCCUCUUUCCCUGAUGUCGCCCCCCCGUGCUCCCAGGGCUACUCAUUGUGAAAAUCCUCAAUGGUUGCUCCUGCUGGAAGGGGGAGAAACCCCAAGGAGCAUUUUGGGCACAGUCAGAACAAAUCACUUCUCAUUGCUGCAUCUUCCCUUGUUCCCCCAACAGAGUAAUUUCCGGCAGCUCUGUUCUCUUGGGGCUGGGAGGUGCUUUUCUGACUCUCUCUCCCGCAGCAAACAGGAAGGUCGGUCUCAGCAUGCAGCGUGGGUAUCUCAUCCUCACUGCUUUCCUGGGGCAACUGCUGGAAACCAUGGGACAGGUGUCUGUCACCCAGGAAGAAGGACAAGUCUCCGUGGAGCAGAGAAACACCUUCCAGACCAAUUGCACGUACCAGAGCUCCAACUUUUAUGGUUUGUUCUGGUACCAGCAGAAGAAGGGACAAGCCCCUCAACGGAUUUCCUAUCAAGCAGGAGCAGGCACCAAGCAGAACGGCCGUUUUACCACAGAGCUGAACACUUCAGAUAAAUCCAGCGUUCUGCAGCUGAAGGAAGUCGAGCUCUCUGACAGCGCCUUGUACCUCUGUGCUACUCAAGGAAGGUCUUCUGUCUGCUUGCAAGAGCAAGAAGCAAAGCAACCCAGAAAGAAAAGUUUAGCCCAGUGAUCCCCCUUGUGCCAGACAGAUGCUCAGCUUAGUGGAUGUUUCAUUGAAGCUCAGCUCCCUGGUGCAAACACAGCAGCAGCAUGCACCCACAGUUUUCUCUGCUUGCAAAGAAUACUU
Anas platyrhynchos (mallard) is the source of this 982-nucleotide non-coding RNA. The record is from the annotation of a RefSeq genome assembly. Lineage: Eukaryota; Metazoa; Chordata; Aves; Anseriformes; Anatidae.